Molecule: long non-coding RNA, 311 nt
Filed under: Elaeis guineensis (African oil palm)
Lineage: Eukaryota; Viridiplantae; Streptophyta; Magnoliopsida; Arecales; Arecaceae
Description: long non-coding RNA (EGUI_LNC049317)
Source: RNAcentral
GACUGAUAUAUACUUUUCUCUAGGAUAUAUUUUGUACUUGUUGGGCAAUCUUAAUAAUCAAUCAUGUUUAUGUGCCCAUGAUUUGUCUUAGAAAUUAACAAAGAUGAUUUUGUAUAUUCUCGUGUUAAAAAUUUAAGACAUACAUCAUUAGUGAUUAAUUUCUAAAUACUCUCGAUCGAAGGAUCAUCAUGGAGGACAGUGAUCAAUCUAUUUGAGAUCAGUACACAGAUCACCUCUCUUUAGGAUAGAUAAGUCUCGAGUCUGUGGUGUAGAGAUGCUGGGAUGAGAGUGCAGGUGGUUGUUAGAGAACA